This 211-nucleotide long non-coding RNA is filed under the name Olea europaea (common olive). Its description in RNAcentral is "long non-coding RNA (OEUR_LNC004087)". Lineage: Eukaryota; Viridiplantae; Streptophyta; Magnoliopsida; Lamiales; Oleaceae. The record is from RNAcentral.
UAACUCUCAACUCCCAGUAAAUCGAGCUCGAGUUCGGGGAUUAGUAGGGUUUGUGAGCGACUAUCCACAGAGGUAAGAGUUCGAGCCCUUAAGUUGUUUUAUUUGAUUAUAGCAUAAUGUCGAGUAGUGGUAGCACAGGGUCAAGUAGUAGUGACAGUAGUCAGGCUCCUAAGGACUCGAACCAUAGUGAUAGGCCUGAAGAUGUAAAUAC